UACGUAGGGACCAAGCGUUGUUCGGAUUUACUGGGCGUAAAGGGCGCGUAGGCGGCCUGACAAGUCACUUGUGAAAUCUCCGGGCUUAACUCGGAACGGCCAAGUGAUACUGUCAAGCUAGAGUGCAGAAAGGGCAAUCGGAAUUCUUGGUGUAGCGGUGAAAUGCGUAGAUAUCAAGAGGAACACCUGAGGCGAAGGCGGGUUGCUAGGCUGACACUGACGCUGACAGCGCGAAAGCCAGGGGAGCAAACGGG
This 254-nucleotide ribosomal RNA is filed under the name uncultured bacterium. RNAcentral describes it as "partial 16S ribosomal RNA". It matches the Rfam family "Bacterial small subunit ribosomal RNA", at positions 524 to 776 of the family's 1533-position model. The record is from RNAcentral.